Molecule: long non-coding RNA, 1892 nt
Organism: Podarcis muralis (Common wall lizard)
Lineage: Eukaryota; Metazoa; Chordata; Lepidosauria; Squamata; Lacertidae
Source: Ensembl
CAGUUGCCUCCCUGGAGAACCCUGCAGUGACUCCUCUUCGCUGCAUCCUCGGCGUGCGCGCGCCCACACACGAAAAGGGUACUCUUAUCUCUCGCUCCCUUGGGUACCACUCUUGUACAUUUCGCCCGCUGGGCCCCGCCCCUUUCCUCCUCGCCGGGCCCCGCCCCUUCGGCUUGGAACGCGCUUCCCCGGGCUCCGAUUGGCUGAAGCCUUGCCGUAGCUCGGGACCGGAGCCGCUGUGUCUCUAGCUCGCGUGCGGCCAGCAGUUUGCAGCAGCGGCAGCAGCAAUAAUAGCAGCAGCAGCAGAAGAAGCAGCAGCAGUGCGCGCCGGGUUGGUGGGGGGAGGAGGAGGUGGUGGAGGAAGGCAGAAGCCGGCGCUUGCAAAAGUCGGGCAGGGGGAGCGGGUAGUGAAAUUUAAAAUUUGGAAACAGAGAAGGAAGGGAAAAGGAAAGAAAAGAAAGGGGGAGAAGCGGCGGACCGAGGAGCUGACCCGCUGGAGAGCGAUGCAAGCCACUGCGGUCUGGCUGGCCUCUGCAAAGGCGCCCGCAGCCCGCCUGGUGGAGCCGCGGAUUGGCUUCCAGAGAACUUAACAUUAAAGAGAGACAGAGAGAGAGAGGGGGGCAGCAUCCACCAAUUUAGCUCUUCUUUGCAAGGGAUUCUUAUAUUUAUUCUUCCACCUGGCUUCCUGCUCCACCGGAGCUCCAGAGUUGUUCCCCCGCUCCUCCUCCCCCUCCUCCCUCCACAGUUUGCAAAAGGACGAUGAGGUUUGCAACCAAACUUUCCUCGCCUGCGCUUUGUUCCCGUUGGCGACUAGCGGCCCGGAGGAUGCCGAACGCGAAAUAAUCAUGGGGAGAGAGAAGAGGAGAAAGGAGAGUCUCCCCGGCGAAGGAUUGCAACAGCGGCGCCUUUGAUUCUUUCUCCCUCCCCCCCCCGCCCUGCUUCGUGCCUCCCGCCCAGCGCAGAGCCGUCAGCGGUGGUUCCUUCUUCCUUUCUACCCCACCCCCGUUUAAACCACGGAAUACCAUCCACCAGCAGUUCCUCGUUUUGCACACCGAGUGCACGGAGGUGCUUCGGCGGCAGUUCUCUAAGAAGACGCUCUCUCUGCCUUCUGAUUUUGCCGAGCUGACUCCUCUCCGCACCCGCGCCUCCCAGGCCACCCCAUCCGCCCGAUCUUCCUUUCCCACCCAGGGCCAGUUUCGCUCGUGUGACAUGACCGGACAAGGAUUUUUGCCUCUGCUAGUGGCCCCUUCCUUACGGCCCCUCCUCCGCAUGCCCUAGCCUUACUUUCCGCCUAGCCUCCCUCUCUGCACCCCGAUUUCAGCCGCUCUUUAUUACUGUCAUUUUUCUAAAAUAAUAAUCUCCGGAUAUCUGAACACCUUCGCCAAGCGGAGGCUCCCCCAGAGAGUCCGCGUUUUGCAUAAAGGUCUGUACAAUUUUUGGGGGGAAGGGAGUGGAAGUGAAGGAAAGGGGGGCAAGAAGAGAAAGAGAUUUGCGCAUGCCAGGUGCAAGUAAAUUGAGGCGCCUCUCCAGUAUACAGACUGCACUUAGGAUGUGUGUGUGUCUGUGAUUCCCCCCCCCCCAAAAAAAAAAAUUGAAUAUAGCUGUGCUGUAACUUAGAACUCUCCUUGACCUGGCUGAGUGGAAGAUAAGGAUUCGAUGUUUCUCUCCCCAUCUUUAGGUGGUGUUGCUUAUUCUAGGGACUGAGGCUGAAAGAUUUGUGGCAGGGAAGCAAAAAGCAAUUAGCUCUUAAAGUAACCACAUCCAAAGUCUCCCCUUCCUUCUCCUGAUUAACCCCCAGCCACCCACCCUGUCCAGCUCCCCUGCCUCUCCUUCUGAUUCGCUCCUUUCUUUCUAUCUAUCGCUGAAACAAACCCCAAACUAGUAAGCCCAAA